RNAcentral lists this ribosomal RNA (768 nucleotides) under uncultured beta proteobacterium. Its description in RNAcentral is "bacterial SSU rRNA". It matches the Rfam family "Bacterial small subunit ribosomal RNA", at positions 58 to 821 of the family's 1533-position model. The record is from RNAcentral. Lineage: Bacteria; Pseudomonadati; Pseudomonadota; Betaproteobacteria.
CAAGUCGAGCGGCAGCGCGGGGCAACCUGGCGGCGAGCGGCGAACGGGCUGAGUAAUGCAUCGGAACAUGUCCAUGUCGUGGGGGAUAGCCCGGCGAAAGCCGGAUUAAUACCGCAUACGCCCGAGAGGGGAAAGUGGGGGACCGCAAGGCCUCACGCGAUUGGGUUGGCCGAUGUCCGAUUAGCUAGUUGGCGGGGUAAGAGCCCACCAAGGCGAUGAUCGGUAGCUGGUCUGAGAGGAUGAUCAGCCACACUGGGACUGAGACACGGCCCAGACUCCUACGGGAGGCAGCAGUGGGGAAUUUUGGACAAUGGGGGCAACCCUGAUCCAGCCAUUCCGCGUGAGUGAAGAAGGCCUUCGGGUUGUAAAGCUCUUUUGUCCGGAACGAAACGGUUAGGUCUAAUAAGCCUGACUACUGACGGUACCGGAAGAAUAAGCACCGGCUAACUACGUGCCAGCAGCCGCGGUAAUACGUAGGGUGCGAGCGUUAAUCGGAAUUACUGGGCGUAAAGCGUGCGCAGGCGGUUUUGUAAGCCAGAUGUGAAAUCCCCGGGCUUAACCUGGGAAUGGCAUUUGGGACUGCAAGGCUGGAGUACGGCAGAGGAGACUGGAAUUCCUGGUGUAGCAGUGAAAUGCGUAGAUAUCAGGAGGAAUACCGAUGGCGAAGGCAGGUCUCUGGGCUGAUACUGACGCUCAUGCACGAAAGCGUGGGGAGCAAACAGGAUUAGAUACCCUGGUAGUCCACGCCCUAAACGAUGUCGACUGGUU